UACGUAGGGUGCAAGCGUUAAUCGGAAUUACUGGGCGUAAAGCGUGCGCAGGCGGUUUUGUAAGACUGUCGUGAAAUCCCCGGGCUCAACCUGGGAAAGGCGAUGGUGACUGCAAGGCUAGAGUUUGGCAGAGGGGGGUAGAAUUCCACGUGUAGCAGUGAAAUGCGUAGAGAUGUGGAGGAACACCGAUGGCGAAGGCAGCCCCCUGGGCCAACACUGACGCUCAGGCACGAAAGCGUGGGGAGCAAACAGG
Molecule: ribosomal RNA, 253 nt
Filed under: uncultured bacterium
Lineage: Bacteria
Description: partial 16S ribosomal RNA
Rfam family: Bacterial small subunit ribosomal RNA
Source: RNAcentral